UAUUAAGAAGAAAUAGAAUUCCACUUCAAUUGUAGGUUUUGGAGGGACCCGACUAGCUCAAAACUUAUGCAGAAGAUAUAGGAUUAUACAAAAUAUGUGAAAAGCUUUAUGCAUGCUUCUAGCAUGGUAUCAUGCGAAGGUGCACUAUACCAUCUACUUGAUCAACUCAUGGUUGACUUUACAAUUACGCUUAAACUCCUUAUAUUCUUAAGGGCAAUAGACCCUUGAAUGUCUUCUAGAAAUGGAGUGGUGGCUCCAAUUAGAGAGAAAGGAAGAUGGUGAGUUACAUCUGGCAUACGUAGACCAUGUUAAGAAGAUGGAUAAAAGAUAAACUAAAAAAAAAGUGGACUGUUGAACCAAUCAUGAUAAGAUAGGUUUCAUAGGUUAAAAAACUUUUAGUUUGGAUGGCCAUGGUCACACCAACUAAAUCUAAUGACAAUAAAUACUUAAUAACAAAAGUUUAUUGGCACUUUUAUGGUGUGGAUUAACAAUCCAAGUUUGUGCAGCCUACUGCCAAACUUGGUUCAACUUAUUUGCACCUAUAAAUGUUAGCUUUCCAUGAACUAUAAUUAGUCCUUCCCUAUUUUCAAUUGAGAGCUAGACAACAUAUUGAACUUUAAAUUUUUGGCAAAAGAUUUAAUAACUUCUAUAUCAAUAUGGAGUAUCCAAAUCUCUAUAACUUUUUUUUGGUACUAUCCAAAUCUCUAUAAUUGAUGCUUCACGUGGAUGCAGAAUGGAUGGUAUCGAUUUUGCUAUUGUGCUAAAAAAUAUAUGAUAGUAUAUUUAAUUGGAAGUUAAUAUAUUGAUCAUAAUUUGACAAUAUAUGUUGCCCAACUAUGCAGCCCAAGAGGAGGGUGAAUUGGGCUUUUCAAAAACUUAAGUGUAUUGCAGUGGAAUUAAAAGCUCAAUAGAUAAAUAUAAAUUUUAGCAGCAAACUAAUAAGUUAAUAUGCUAAAGAUAAAUGCAAACAGAUCAAGCAAUGCAAACACACAAAGUUUAUAGUAGUUCGGUGUCAUCCCUACACCUACGUCCACUUUCUAAGACUUUCUUCUUAAAAAUUUUACUACGAGAUUACAGUCCGAUUGUUUUACACAGACUCACAAUCAACUCAGUUGAUUUUUUCAGACAAUCAACCAAAAUCUACACCGAUUAUUUUACUUGGGCUUACAAUCAACGCAGUUGAUUCUUUCAGGCAAUCAACCAAAACUUACACAAUCUAAUUUAAGAUUUGGAUAGACCUUUCUUCCAAGUUUUAGUUCCUAAAACUUGUUAUAACAAAGUAUAAAAUGAAUAGAGUUAAAGAACAAUAAAGAACAACUCCUAAACU
This 1327-nucleotide long non-coding RNA is filed under the name Phoenix dactylifera (date palm). RNAcentral describes it as "long non-coding RNA (PDAC_LNC015022)". Lineage: Eukaryota; Viridiplantae; Streptophyta; Magnoliopsida; Arecales; Arecaceae. The record is from RNAcentral.